UACGGAGGGGGCAAGCGUUGUUCGGAAUCAUUGGGCGUAAAGGGCGCGUAGGCGGCCAUGCGUGUCUUCCGUGAAAUCCCUCGGCUUAACUGAGGACGUGCGGAAGAAACUGCAAGGCUCGAGUCCGGGAGAGGGGGGUGGAAUUCCCAGUGUAGCGGUGAAAUGCGUAGAUAUUGGGAGGAACACCGGUGGCGAAGGCGGCCCCCUGGACCGGUACUGACGCUGAGGCGCGAAAGCGUGGGUAGCAAACGGG
This 253-nucleotide ribosomal RNA is filed under the name uncultured bacterium. RNAcentral's name for it is "partial 16S ribosomal RNA". It matches the Rfam family "Bacterial small subunit ribosomal RNA", at positions 524 to 776 of the family's 1533-position model. The record is from RNAcentral.